UCACGAGGUGGGCACGCAGAGGUGGCGC
Molecule: small RNA, 28 nt
Filed under: Bombyx mori (domestic silkworm)
Lineage: Eukaryota; Metazoa; Arthropoda; Insecta; Lepidoptera; Bombycidae
Description: ovarian small RNA-25238
Source: RNAcentral